CGAACGGGUGAGUAAUGCGUGACCAACCUGCCCCAUGCUCCAGAAUAGCUCUUGGAAACGGGUGGUAAUGCUGGAUGCUCCAACUUGAAGCAUGUCUUGUUGGGAAAGUGUUUAGUGGCAUGGGAUGGGGUCGCGUCCUAUCAGCUUGUAGGCGGGGUAACGGCCCACCUAGGCUUCGACGGGUAGCCGGCCUGAGAGGGCGGACGGCCACAUUGGGACUGAGAUACGGCCCAGACUCCUACGGGAGGCAGCAGCC
Molecule: ribosomal RNA, 256 nt
Filed under: uncultured Gardnerella sp.
Lineage: Bacteria; Bacillati; Actinomycetota; Actinomycetes; Bifidobacteriales; Bifidobacteriaceae
Description: partial 16S ribosomal RNA
Rfam family: Bacterial small subunit ribosomal RNA
Source: RNAcentral